Molecule: ribosomal RNA, 253 nt
Filed under: uncultured bacterium
Lineage: Bacteria
Description: partial 16S ribosomal RNA
Rfam family: Bacterial small subunit ribosomal RNA
Source: RNAcentral
AACGUAGGACGCAAGCGUUAUCCGGAGUUACUGGGCGUAAAGAGCGCGCAGGCGGUCGUUCAAGUCGCGUGUGAAAGCCCCCGGCUCAACUGGGGAGGGUCACGCGAUACUGAUCGACUCGAAGGCAGGAGAGGGUAGUGGAAUUCCCGGUGUAGUGGUGAAAUGCGUAGAUAUCGGGAGGAACACCAGUGGCGAAGGCGACUACCUGGCCUGUUCUUGACGCUGAGGCGCGAAAGCUAGGGGAGCAAACGGG